This is an RNA transcript of Centrocercus urophasianus (Greater sage-grouse), 7697 nucleotides long. It is a transcript of the gene named SLX4 structure-specific endonuclease subunit, with no coding region annotated. The record is from RefSeq and is a predicted model, not a curated record. NCBI's taxonomy places the organism in Eukaryota, Metazoa, Chordata, Aves, Galliformes, Phasianidae. The transcript is spliced from 17 exons.
UGCUGCCCGUCGUGGCGGUGGGGCGCGAGGAGCGGCGGGAGCUCGCCGUGCCGCGGCGAGGAGCUUCCAUCUUCCAUUCUUACUGAUCUUGCUUUGUUCUGAUCUGAUGAUCCUCAUUUACGUGACGGGCACAGCUGAAGAUUUGGCAUCUAAGUAGAUAGGGCUUUCCUAGGUGUCUUUCUGAAGCCCUGUAGCAUACCAAGAAGAACCUGUGCGUGCUCUGCACAAACUGCAGUGUUUACUUUAUGGUCUAGAGACAUCUGAAGAGCCAGAUUGUCAGUGCAGUAUAUGUGAAGGCAAGUGGGGUCUGUGAAGAGAGAAUAUGGCUGCGAAUUAAGUGUGGAAGAAAGAACCGCGGGAACGAUGAGGAAAUGCCCACUGUUUUGACCUCAGUGAAUUCUGGAGGUCGGAGCUCCCUGAGGGGAUGGAAAAGGUCAUGUAGGAUGCACACCUGAGCUGAUUCUGAUGUCUUCUGCUCUCCUUCAGUCCACACAGUGUCAUUAGAAAACAGCGUUACUGGAACCUGCAGGCCAAUGGAUGAACAGGACAAUGACUUUAAAGAGUUGUGGGCAAAUCUUUUGGGUAAAGGGAAGAAAAAAUCUGGGGAUACUGAGGCAGCAAAGAGGGCUCAGAAAAGAUCAAAGAAUACUGCAGCAAAAAGCAGAGUAAGAAGAGGCAAAGCUGCUGCUAAGAGCCAAAACCAUCACCUCUUUCCAUCUGCAAAGCAAAAAAGCUUGCUUCAGGAUUUGGGUCCUAGGAUACAAACACUGGGGCACAAAGCAGACAGUGACACUGCGGCCUGCAAUAGUGGUGACACUUCAGAAGGGGAUGGAAGCAGAAGCCCUUUCCCUGCCAGCCAGCUGAGUUCCACAGCCAGUGACUGUAGCCAGGGGACUCUGACAGUAAAUAGUCGGAGUGGUUGCUCCCAAACAACGUUAUCUUUCCAUCCUGCGACACAGCCAGGGACCUGUUCCUCACCCACCUCAAAGAUUCCACCUCUCACAGGCGCCAAGGUGCGGGUGGCAGAGCUGGUAGUGGAGAGAAUGCAGCAGUUCAAGAGAGUGGCACCUGAUCAGCUAAAACACAGCACAGAUUGUAGCUUGCCAAAGUCCUUAACCAGCGGAGAUUUUGCUGGUGAAAGCCAAGAGCAGAACUCAGCAGAGAAUGAUCUCUGUGAUCUUCAGUGCAUGCAGCAUGACGGUGCUCUGGCUUUGGCCCUUCAGCAGGAAACACAGAAGGAUUCCCUGGAAAGCCUGGAGGAUGCAGGUUUGUUCUUCUGUCAGAUCUGCCAGAAGGAUCUCUCAGCUAUGAACUCAACGCGACGAGAGCAGCAUGUUAACAGGUGUCUGGAUGAGAUGGAAGAAGCACAGACGUCAUCCUCCAGCAAAUCAGCAGUCCCUGAAUGUCCCAUCUGUGGGAAGCAAUUCCAAACCCCCCAAAGCCGAGUCAGUCACUUGAAACGCUGUGCUGUUGAGAUGGAUGUUCCUCCUCAGAUGCUUCUUCAGGCAGUGCAGAUGCAGGUGUCCACGCUUGGUGAGGCACCUCUUCAAUUUCCCAGCAAUCAACCAAGCAGGUCAAAGCGAAAAGUCUCCUCCAAAGAGGACUCAAAGAACAAGCAGAAGAGGGCAAAAAUGGAGACUAAGGAUGAAGAUUUGCUGGUUGCUAUGGCGAUGUCACGCUCUCUGUUGGAGCAAGAAAAGCAGGAACAAGCAAAAUCAGUUACAAAUGUGAAACCAGUGGCUGCUUUGCCAAUCAGAUGGAAGCCAGGAUCAGAAAAAAGGCGACGUAGAAGAGGCCCAACUACCCCUCCUCCAUUACUGCUGCAGGAUCCAGCGAAGGUGCGCAGAAGGAUAGAAGAGAGGCUAGCUGUGCUGCUUGCACAAGAGGUGGAAUUCCCUCCCACUCCUCAGCUUCCCACCAGCAGGAUUUUGGAGGUUGAAUCUGGGAAAGCAGCCUGGCUCUUGCCAUUGCCCAAAAACAGGGACUGCUUUUUGUGGAAUUUCAGUGCUCUGACAGGACCCUGUGACCCUGAAUCCUUCUAUGCUGCUGGGUUAACCCCUCCGAUUGAACCUUGGAAGCCUGUGCAGAAUCAUAAACCAGAGGAUGCUCUGCCAUCAGCAGGAUCUGAUCAGCCAAAAGUAUCUCAGCAAAUUCAGCCUGACUUUGGUUCUCAUGAGUCUACUUGCAGAGAGAUUAGAGACCAAACCUGUGAUGAAUUCAAGUCAAGCCCUGAAGGAGGUGGGCAGAUUUUAUCUCACAGCCAGAAGGAUAUUCAGAACCUGCAGGAUCUAGUUGAAUUGGCUGGGGAAGGACUUACCCUUACGCAGUGGAACCUUGAUGUUGGCCAUACUCGUGCAGCAGAGCAGGCAGGAAAAGAGCUGAGUUCCAGUGAUAUUCCAUGUACUGGUUUUGUCCCUUUACUUGAAGAGAAGAGAUUCCUGACACGCAGCUGUAAGAAAUCCUCCCUGAGGUCGCUGGCUGCAGAUUUCAGUGCAAUGGUCAACAACCCCCACCUAAGUGAUGUCCAGUUCCAGGUGGACUCUGGGGAAAUCCUUUAUGCCCACAUGUUUGUGCUGUAUGCACGGUGUCCGCAGGCCAUUCAGACUGUUCACAGUGAAGGGUUCUUAGUGGAGGAGGAUGGCAACGCGCAGAUGCGCCGUGUGCUACUGAGUGAUGUGACAGGAGAGGCAGCCCGUGCUUUCCUGCGGUACCUGUAUGCUGCUGAUGCUGACAUCCCUGCUGAGGUGCUGCCCCAGGUGGGGGCUCUGGCUGCCAGGUUUGGUGUGAGGGAGCUGAUGGCAAACUGUGAAAAUAACACUGGAGAGAGUCAGAUGUCUUCUGGAGUGGAUUCAGAAUGUGAUCUGAUCUCCGUGACAGAUGACAAAGAUUGUGAGGACAGAGCAGAGAACUUCCAAGACCUUUUGAAGUCUAUGUGGGUGGGUGAAGAUGAGGAAGAAGUAGCUGACCUCAACCAGGAAUGCCAGAAGGAGGAUGACAAUGCGGUGGGUGAACAGGAGCUGGAAGAAAUCUAUGAGUUUGCUGCAACUCAGAGAAGGAUGAUUCAAGGUAAAACAACACCGAGUGAAGGAACUGACUGCAGCGUGUGCAGUGACACUGAGGCAGCCCAAGAGAUGAACCAGCAAACUGAGGAGGAAGAGGUGAAGAGAUCUGUAUCUUCUUCAGUAAGCAGUAACUUCAAGGAUUUGAGGGAUAACAGUGAUGUGGAAACAUCUACAUGUGACUUAUCUGCAGAAAAAGAGAGAAUGCAGAAUAUAAAUAGAUACAGAAGCGUGAAUGCUACACAGAUCACUUCUGUGCCUCACCACAGAGAACCUCAAAAGAGGGAUGCAGCAUCCCGUGGUGCCACCACUGAUGAAGGAGAGACUGCAAGGAGAUGCGAAGGUGGAAAGGACUCCAGGUCAUCUCAGGCCUCACACGAUGUAAAAGGGGAAGAUCACUGUGAAAAAGAGUUUCUUAGCUUUGCCAUUGAUACUAAUAUCAAUGACAGUUACGAACACUUAUUUUCUGCAACUCAGGGAGAUUACUGUGAGCCUUCCCCAACAAAAGCAGUUAGUAAAGUAUCAGAAGAAGCUCCUGGUGAAAAACACGUUGAUGUCAAUGAUUUUCAUCUGCACAGCAAAACACAGAAAGACUUUUCUCCAUGUAAAAAUGGUUCUUACAGGAGUCCUCCUUCCAAAGCUUUUGUGCCUCUUUUUCCUGCUGUUGGAUCUUCACCUCUGUCUCCAAAAUCAGACAGAAAGCUUGCGAGCGAACAUAUGUCAACACCAAAUCAAACAAAAAAAUCAUUCCCACCUGAUGAAAUUCUUUUUCAGAAGGCCAAUGAGCUGGAGACUGCAUCUCCACCAGAGCUUCCCAACACUGAUUUAAACAAGCAUGUCCCAGUGUUGUCAGCACCAGUUAUCAGAACUCAGGAUCCUGCAGCUCAGGGGAGCAAGAAGGGUGAUGUCAUUGUUUUAUCUUCUGAUGAUGAAAUGGAGUUAGAAGACAAGAAGUCACCAGAGUCAGGCUCUGUUCUGAAGAAAGUGGAAAGCCCUGAGCAACUGAAAUGUACAAAUAGAGGACGUGGUCCUGAAGGACCAAAACCUGAACACAACACAUCAGUCGCUGAAACAGAGCAGAGAUCACUGCAGAUCUCACACCUCGUUACAGAUAAGGCGCACGUAAGUGAUGAUGUGAAGAUGUCCACUGAGUUGCCUCCCAGCAGCCACGCAGAUCCUUGUACAGAGGGUGAGCAGAGCCCAAACCUGAGCCCAGAGAAAAUGCUCAGUCACGAAGUGUCUUCAGGUACUGACAGCUCCUGGCUGGUGCCUGACACACCAGUUCUGACCAAAAGCAGAAGUUCCUCAACACAGACCCACAUCACAAGUAGUAACUCUUCCAGGAGUCCAGAAUCUAAAGUCAGCACAAAAAGCCUAACAGCUGAUAGUAGUAACCGUGAAGUGGACAGAAAUGUAAGAGAAGUUCAUCAAGCAGCAUUGUCAGACAAACAUUUGCCUGUGGAGAACUGUGUCAGUGAAAGAAAUCCUUCCAGCAGCCCAGAAGCAGGGUCAGUUUUUGAGAAAUCUACGCCGCUUUCUUCAGUGGAUCCAGUUCUCGCCCUUGCUCACACCAGCUCACAAAGCAAAUGUGCUAAUACCUCAUUUUUGUCCAAAUCUGUGCCUCCAUGCCAUGGGAAGUCAAUGGAAGAUAAAUCAAACGUCAGCGUGGUUGAGAUACAGGACAGUGAGGGGGAGAAGGAAAUAAGUAUGGUGUCUUUGAGCAGUAGUGUCUUGCUUGCUGAUGAGCCUGCAAUUCCUGCUGAUGACUGCUGGCACAGUAAGUAUCUGUCACCAGUCAGAGCUAACAGCCAGGACUCCAGACAGAAUGGCCAUGCAAACACCAGCGCUGCCAGCAGCCCCCAAACUGACCUUGUGCGUGAGCAGUGGGAGAGCCCAGACCAAGCAUGGGAAAUUAAGGGCAGUACUCCUCUUCAAGGAGCUCCUGUUGGCAGAAGAACAACUUUGCUCCGUCUUGAAAAGAGUCCCAUUGAGGCAUGUACACCACGGGGCAGCAGAGCAAGUUACCUGAACUCCAAACUCUGGGAUGAGUGGGAUGGAGAAGAGGAGGAAGAUGAAUUUCCAGAGGUGCUUCCUCUGUCACAGAGGGUAUCAGCAGCAGCAGGUGCAGAUCCUAUAAAGACUCCUGAACCUGUGUGUCAAGAGAACAGCAAUUCUCCCAGCACUCCAGUGACACCAAUGCCAUCUUACUCCAUGAUGGAGACACCACAGCUGAAGGAGGAGUUGAAAAGAUUUGGCGUUCGUGCUCUCCCAAAACGCCAGAUGGUGUUGAAACUGAAAGAGAUAUUCCAGUAUACUCACCGGGAUGGGGACUCUGACUUUGAGGAUGAAGUCCACUCCUCCCAGCCUCCCCAGAAGUCCCCUGCCAAACGCUGUAGGCAGUCAAAGGCAGCUCAGACUACAGGUGGAAAGAGUCCCAAAGCCUCGAAGGCUGUGAGCAAAAGGAAGCAGGUUGCAACAGGUUCUUCAGUGCUCCCUGUAGGAAGGAGAGAGUAUGACCUUGUCGGACCCUCUAAAAAAGGCUGUGCAGCACCCAAGCAGAGAAAUGAAAUGAUACAUCAUCCAGAAGGAAACAGAGAGCAGAACAGGUCAGCUGCAUCUCCAGAAGGAUGGUCUCUGGGAGCUGAUGGUGAGGAACCAAUGCUCUCUGCAUCUCAGAAGUCUGCAGUUUCUUCGGGGGAUGGAAGUGACGUCUCCUUCAGUUCACAGAGUUCUUUUGUGAAGGAAUUGGAGGCCUAUGCAUUUGCAUCUGAAGAGGAGGAAGAAGAACUUCCAGCAUCCCAGGCAGCAGCUCGGGAAGAAGAGAAACUGGAGGCAGUGAGGUGCUACAUCCGCUCAAACCCAACCCUGUACGACAGGAUUCUCUUCUAUGAGCCUAUUGAGCUGGCUGACCUGCACGCAGAAUUGAAACUGAAUGGCAUUAAGAUUUCCAAGGCAAAGCUGCUGGACUUCUUAGAUGCUCAGUGCAUCACCUUUACCACAGCUGGAGCCCGGAAAGAGAAGGAACAGAAGAGAAAGGGGAGCAAAAAAAAGAGGAAACGAUACUGAAUGGAUCCCACUCCUCUAUCCUGAAAAUUUCCUUCACAGAGGCCUUCCUCCUAAGGUGGAAACCCUGUUCCAGGCUGCUCCUGGUGGAGCUGGUGUGAUCGGUGGGUGCACUGCUCCUCCUUGUGGCCUGCUGUCCAGAUGACACGCUGGAAAACGGAUCUGAACUGAGCUCCUGCUCUCAAGCUUUCCUCUGAGCUGCACAAAAUCCUCUUUCGGGAGCCUUUUUAUGUGCCCUGAUUUUCAUCCUGUGCAUUCUCUUGUCUUUCCAUUUUAGUAGUUUUAGAUCCCCAGCUUCUCUUCUUGUUGGUGCUUCUGAGAUGGCUGCUUCCUCCAGUGGUACUUGCCACGGUCCUUGCCCUGGCCUUGGCCUGAACCCUUUUUGUUCCAAUAUUGAAUGGAAUAACCCAUGUGUGUUUUGUAAGUGGCUGCAAAACAGUGCAGGUGUUUUUGUGGUCUGUUUGUGGUGGCUGCAUCACCAGAUGUCACGUAGAAGCCACUGAGGUUUGAACAUUCAGUUGUGUGCAUUCACUUUGCUGAGAUUGGUGCUAAAGACAUUACAGCUCCAUUUUCUGAGUACUGUUUCACCCUGUCAUUGUAGCUUGACUAUGUGACAUUUUAAAAAAAGACAGUGUUACAGUGACCAAUGGAUCUCUCAAGCAAUUCUCACACCCUGAUCUAAAGCCUCUUUGUGGAUCUGUCUUGUCAUUUCCAAACUGGACCAAUAUUUGGUUGGAAACUGUCUGGGACUCUUGGGGAAGUCUUGGACACUAAAUAGUCAUUUUAUUUAUUAACUUCUACCACACCUUUGGAUUUUUCUCUGUUCUGGCAGGUCUGAGUCUGCAGAGUCUCACUCACCAAAGUAGACACAAUAAUUAAAAAGAAAAAGCUUGAUUUCUGAAUGUAUUUAUGUAUUUGGAACAUGCUUUUUUAUUUUAUUAUUUGAUACAGCACUGCCUUGGUUUUAUUUGAUUUCUAUACAAUAAACAAUUUGGAAGGAAAUAAUGCUAAGCUAUAAGCAAUGUCUUCUGAGGGACUUUUAGGGAUGGUUCUAAGCAGAAACACUGGGUCUGGUUGAGAGCAGGAGGAGCUGUGCACUCUGUGCCUGUGCUGAUCAAAACCUGAGCAAAAAAACUGGAGGAGGAGCAUUUGUGCCAGGUGCCCUGCAGCACGGAGAGGUGGACUGGGAGAGAUCAGCCUGCACUGAUGGAUGGUGGAUUGGUGACCUGGAGGGAGACGAGCUGCACAGGGCGUCAGGAACGCGUGCUCCAAAGGUGUUGCUGUGGCAUGUGUGAUGGCAUAGGGACCUUCAAGCAACACUUUCUGCCAUCUCUUGUGACUUGUCAGGAAUUUGGGGCAGUUUUCUUCCUGGCAGUCACAUCACUUUUGCUCCCUCAUCUUCUUGUGCAAGAGUGCUGUGUGAUGACUUUAUUAGAUAAAAAGACCCAGGCUUGCCUUAAAGAGGCAAACUAGGAAAUGUUGCCCUCAAUGUACCUUGUGUUUCUCCCAACAGAUACUUAAUAUUCAGAAAAAGCUGAUACAGGAAUACAGGAAAAUAAAUGUGAUUCCUUCCCA